This is a long non-coding RNA of Xenia sp. Carnegie-2017, 99 nucleotides long. RefSeq lists it as uncharacterized. NCBI's taxonomy places the organism in Eukaryota, Metazoa, Cnidaria, Anthozoa, Malacalcyonacea, Xeniidae. The record is from RefSeq and is a predicted model, not a curated record. The transcript is spliced from 2 exons.
GUGUUAUUCCUGAGCUUGAUGAAGGAAAUAUCUGUCCUGCUUGUCCCAAAACUGAUGGUGUGAUCUUUGAGUCUCUUGAUGCUCUUUUUAUUGGACGAA